RNAcentral lists this ribosomal RNA (465 nucleotides) under uncultured bacterium. RNAcentral's name for it is "partial 16S ribosomal RNA". It matches the Rfam family "Bacterial small subunit ribosomal RNA", at positions 338 to 795 of the family's 1533-position model. The record is from RNAcentral.
CCUACGGGAGGCAGCAGUGGGGAAUAUUGCGCAAUGGGCGAAAGCCUGACGCAGCGACGCCGCGUGAGGGAUGAAGUUCUUCGGAUCGUAAACCUCUGUCAGCAGGGAAGAACGGUCACUCUGCUAAUCAGCAGUGAAUUGACGCUACCUGAGUAAGAAGCGCCGGCUAACUACGUGCCAGCAGCCGCGGUAAUACGUAGGGGGCAAGCGUUAUCCGGAUUUACGGUGUGUAAAGGGAGCGUAGACGGCAGUGCAAGUCUGGAGUGAAAGGCGGGGGCUCAACCCCCGGACUGCUCUGGAAACUGUAUGGCUGGAGUGCAGGAGAGGUAAGUGGAAUUCCUAGUGUAGCGGUGAAAUGCGUAGAUAUUAGGAGGAACACCAGUGGCGAAGGCGGCUUACUGGACUGUAACUGACGUUGAGGCUCGAAAGCGUGGGGAGCAAACAGGAUUAGAUACCCGAGUAGUC